This 253-nucleotide ribosomal RNA is filed under the name uncultured bacterium. Its description in RNAcentral is "partial 16S ribosomal RNA". It matches the Rfam family "Bacterial small subunit ribosomal RNA", at positions 524 to 776 of the family's 1533-position model. The record is from RNAcentral.
UACGAAGGGUGCAAGCGUUACUCGGAAUUACUGGGCGUAAAGCGUGCGUAGGUGGUGAGUUAAGUCUGUCGUGAAAGCCCCGGGCUCAACCUGGGAACCGCGCUUGAGACUGGCAUGCUCGAGUUCGGGAGAGGAUGGUGGAAUUCCCAGUGUAGAGGUGAAAUUCGUAGAUAUUGGGAAGAACACCGAUGGCGAAGGCGGUCUGCUGGGGUAAUGCUGACACUGAUGCGCGACAGCGUGGGGAGCAAACAGG